UAGGGAAUCUUCGGCAAUGGGGGCAACCCUGACCGAGCAACGCCGCGUGAGUGAAGAAGGUUUUCGGAUCGUAAAGCUCUGUUGUAAGAGAAGAACGUGUGUGAGAGUGGAAAGUUCACACAGUGACGGUAACUUACCAGAAAGGGACGGCUAACUACGUGCCAGCAGCCGCGGUAAUACGUAGGUCCCGAGCGUUGUCCGGAUUUAUUGGGCGUAAAGCGAGCGCAGGCGGUUUAAUAAGUCUGAAGUUAAAGGCAGUGGCUUAACCAUUGUUCGCUUUGGAAACUGUUAAACUUGAGUGCAGAAGGGGAGAGUGGAAUUCCAUGUGUAGCGGUGAAAUGCGUAAAUAUAUGGAGGAACACCGGUGGCGAAAGCGGCUCUCUGGUCUGUAACUGACGCUGAGGCUCGAAAGCGUGGGGAGCAAACAGG
This 429-nucleotide ribosomal RNA is filed under the name bacterium. Its description in RNAcentral is "partial 16S ribosomal RNA". It matches the Rfam family "Bacterial small subunit ribosomal RNA", at positions 355 to 776 of the family's 1533-position model. The record is from RNAcentral.